This 492-nucleotide ribosomal RNA is filed under the name uncultured bacterium. RNAcentral's name for it is "partial 16S ribosomal RNA". It matches the Rfam family "Bacterial small subunit ribosomal RNA", at positions 29 to 507 of the family's 1533-position model. The record is from RNAcentral.
AGUGAACGCUGGCGGUAGGCCUAACACAUGCAAGUCGAACGGCAGCACAGUAAGAGCUUGCUCUUACAGGUGGAGAGUGACAGACGGGUGAGGAAUACAUCGGACACUACUUUUUCGUGGGGGAUAACGUAGGGAAACUUACGCUAAUACCGCAUACGACCUACGGGUGAAAGCAGGGGAUCUUCGGACCUUGCGCGAUUGAAUGAGCCGAUGUCGGAUUAGCUAGUUGGCGGGGUAAAGGCCCACCAAGGCGACGAUCCGUAGCUGGUCUGAGAGGAUGAUCAGCCACACUGGAACUGAGACACGGUCCAGACUCCUACGGGAGGCAGCAGUGGGGAAUAUUGGACAAUGGGCGCAAGCCUGAUCCAGCCAUACCGCGUGGGUGAAGAAGGCCUUCGGGUUGUAAAGCCCUUUUGUUGGGAAAUAAAAGCAGCAGGUUAAUACCCCGCUGUUCCGACGGUACCCAAAGAAUAAGCACCGGCUAACUUCGUG